RNAcentral lists this ribosomal RNA (496 nucleotides) under uncultured bacterium. RNAcentral describes it as "partial 16S ribosomal RNA". It matches the Rfam family "Bacterial small subunit ribosomal RNA", at positions 28 to 506 of the family's 1533-position model. The record is from RNAcentral.
GAUGAACGCUGGCGGCGUGCCUAAUACAUGCAAGUCGAGCGAACAGACGAGGAGCUUGCUCCUCUGACGUUAGCGGCGGACGGGUGAGUAACACGUGGAUAACCUACCUAUAAGACUGGGAUAACUUCGGGAAACCGGAGCUAAUACCGGAUAAUAUAUUGAACCGCAUGGUUCAAUAGUGAAAGACGGUUUUGCUGUCACUUAUAGAUGGAUCCGCGCCGCAUUAGCUAGUUGGUAAGGUAACGGCUUACCAAGGCAACGAUGCGUAGCCGACCUGAGAGGGUGAUCGGCCACACUGGAACUGAGACACGGUCCAGACUCCUACGGGAGGCAGCAGUAGGGAAUCUUCCGCAAUGGGCGAAAGCCUGACGGAGCAACGCCGCGGGAGUGAUGAAGGUCUUCGGAUCGUAAAACUCUGUUAUUAGGGAAGAACAAAUGUGUAAGUAACGAUGCACGUCUUGACGGUACCUAAGCAGAAAGCCACGGCUAACUACGU